GAUGAACGCUGGCGGCGUGCCUAAUACAUGCAAGUCGAGCGAACGGACGAGAAGCUUGCUUCUCUGAUGUUAGCGGCGGACGGGUGAGUAACACGUGGAUAACCUACCUAUAAGACUGGGAUAACUUCGGGAAACCGGAGCUAAUACCGGAUAAUAUUUUGAACCGCAUGGUUCAAAAGUGAAAGACGGUCUUGCUGUCACUUAUAGAUGGAUCCGCGCUGCAUUAGCUAGUUGGUAAGGUAACGGCUUACCAAGGCAACGAUGCAUAGCCGAACUGAGAGGCGGAUCGCCCACACGGGAACUGAGACACGGUCCAUACUCCUACGGGAGGCAGCAGUAGGGAAUCUUCCGCAAUGGGCGAGAGCCUGACGGAGCAACGCCGCGUGAGUGAUGAAGGUCUUCGGAUCGUAAAACUCUGUUAUUAGGGAAGAACAUAUGUGUAAGUAACUGUGCACAUCUUGACGGUACCUAAUCAGAAAGCCACGGCUAACUACGUG
RNAcentral lists this ribosomal RNA (497 nucleotides) under uncultured bacterium. Its description in RNAcentral is "partial 16S ribosomal RNA". It matches the Rfam family "Bacterial small subunit ribosomal RNA", at positions 28 to 507 of the family's 1533-position model. The record is from RNAcentral.